RNAcentral lists this unclassified non-coding RNA (473 nucleotides) under Bifidobacterium scardovii. RNAcentral describes it as "partial 16S-23S ribosomal RNA". The record is from RNAcentral. Lineage: Bacteria; Bacillati; Actinomycetota; Actinomycetes; Bifidobacteriales; Bifidobacteriaceae.
CCUUUCUACGGAGAAUUCGGUCGGAUGUUUGUCCGACGGUGUGUGCCCCCGGGGCCGGAUGGUCCGGCCGGUCGGGGGUUGCUGGUGUGGAAGAUGGUCGUUGGCUUGUGGGUCCGCCCGUCGUGGGGUGGCCCGUGGGGUGGUGCGGGCAUGCUUUUGGGUUCCCGGACCGCCACCCCGGGAUUGGUUUCCCGGCGCGGUCUGUCGGCCCCGCGGGAUCGCCGGCGCGUUGGUUCGCGUGCGGUUGGUUCGGCGGGUGCGUGGUGGUUUGAGAACUGGAUAGUGGACGCGAGCGGGAGAACGCCGUUGUUGGUGUUUUCCUGUUCUGUGAUUUCAAUGACUCCGGCCGGCUUCUUGUUGUUGCUGGUCGUGGGUUUUUGUUUGAUCGUUUUGUGAUCGUUUAGUGUGAUGAUUUGUCGUCAGCGUUUUUCGCCGUGGGCUUGUUGCGGGUUGAUCCGUGUUGGGUUGCUUGC